RNAcentral lists this ribosomal RNA (468 nucleotides) under uncultured bacterium. Its description in RNAcentral is "partial 16S ribosomal RNA". It matches the Rfam family "Bacterial small subunit ribosomal RNA", at positions 28 to 507 of the family's 1533-position model. The record is from RNAcentral.
GACGAACGCUGGCGGCGUGCUUAACACAUGCAAGUCGAACGGACAGGCCCUGCUUUUGUUGGGUUCUCGAGUGGCGCACGGGUGAGUAACACGUGAGUAACCUGCCCUUGACUUUCGGAUAACUUCACGAAACUGGGGCUAUUACCGGAUAGGAGCUCCUGCUGCAUGGUGUGGGUUGGUAAGUUUCGGCGGUUGGGGCUGGACUCGCGGCUUAUCAGCUUGUUGGUGGGGUAGUGGCCUACCAAGGCUUUGACGGGUAGCCGGCCUGAGAGGGUGACCGGCCACAUUGGGACUGAGAUACGGCCCAGACGCCUACGGGAGGCAGCAGUGGGGAAUAUUGCACAAUGGGCGGAAGCCAGAUGCAGCAACGCCGCGUGCGGGAUGACGGCCUUCGGGUUGUAAACCGCUGUCGCCUGUGACGAAGCGUGAGUGACGGUAAUGGGUAAAGAAGCACCGGCUAACUACGUG